Molecule: ribosomal RNA, 384 nt
Filed under: Triticum aestivum (bread wheat)
Lineage: Eukaryota; Viridiplantae; Streptophyta; Magnoliopsida; Poales; Poaceae
Description: partial small subunit ribosomal RNA
Source: RNAcentral
AUGAUGAACCGCAUCCGGCAUAAUUCUCCAUCACCGAUCCAAUGCCUACGAGCUUUUCACAUAUUGUUCUCCGCUUAUUUACUUUUCUGUUGCUAUUAUUACAAUCACUACAAAACCCAAAAAUAUUACUUUUGCUACCGUUACCGUUACUUCCAUAUUACUUUGCUACUAAAUACUUUACUGCAGAUACUAAGUUAUCCAGGUGUGGUUGAAUUGACAACUCAACUGCUAAUACUUGAGAAUAUUCUUUGGCUCCCCUUGUGUCGAAUCAAUAAAUUUGGGUUGAAUACUCUACCCUCGAAAACUGUUGCGAUCCCCUAUACUUGUGGGUUAUCAAGACUAUUUUCUGGCGCCGUUGUCGGGGAGCAUAGCUCUAUUCUUUGA